UGAGAUGGCAGUUGUGGUGUAAGGAUGUUGAAAGAGAUUUGCAUGUUUGAAAGUAUUCCUGCUUUAAUCAUUGAAAGCAUCUGGCAUAUUGGUCUCAUUACUGGGUCAACUGCUUUAAGUUUCUUCAAGAAGCCCUGAUGCAAGUAAAAGCACUUUAAUCCAAGCCCAGCAGUAUCUGGUUGACCAUCUGAAGCUGUCUGGCAAUUCCAGAGUCCUAAUGUUGGCUUUAUUCCAGAUGUUACCCAACUCUACACAUCUUUGUUCAAGCCCUGGUCAGUCAAACCAGAGGACACAAACUGCAGGAGCUCUGAAAUAUUUUGGAGGUGGGACACAACCAAAUGCAACCAGGCCCAAGUGCCAGUGUUACAGCUGAUGAUACAGCAGAUCCAUCCUCUGCAGGUGAGGAGCACUUACUAGCAUCUGCAUCCACGGAUCCUGCUGUUCCUUCCAUGUCUGUUUCAACCUCUGCAGAUGCAGCAGGUCAUUCUACUUGUGGUCAUUGAGAUCUAUCACAUCUACUCUUCAACUUUCAGCCUACACUAUGGACCAGAAGCUCCUCCAGUUGACCCAGCUAAGUGGUCAUCUAUCCUGUCUGACUCUGGAAGGACUGAUCUGGUAAGCAGAGGGUCACUGCCUAAAAAGGAAAACCUCACAUUCCCUAAAUAAACCUGAUGGCCGACGUUUCCACUACACCUA
Long non-coding RNA from Sinocyclocheilus rhinocerous, 696 nucleotides. RefSeq lists it as uncharacterized. NCBI's taxonomy places the organism in Eukaryota, Metazoa, Chordata, Actinopteri, Cypriniformes, Cyprinidae. The record is from RefSeq and is a predicted model, not a curated record. The transcript has 7 exons.